This 492-nucleotide ribosomal RNA is filed under the name uncultured bacterium. RNAcentral's name for it is "partial 16S ribosomal RNA". It matches the Rfam family "Bacterial small subunit ribosomal RNA", at positions 29 to 507 of the family's 1533-position model. The record is from RNAcentral.
AGUGAACGCUGGCGGUAGGCCUAACACAUGCAAGUCGAACGGCAGCACAGUAAGAGCUUGCUCUUACGGGUGGCGAGUGGCGGACGGGUAAGGAAUACAUCGGAAUCUACUUUUUCGUGGGGGAUAACGUAGGGAAACUUACGCUAAUACCGCAUACGACCUACGGGUGAAAGCAGGGGAUCUUCGGACCUUGCGCGAUUGAAUGAGCCGAUGUCGGAUUAGCUAGUUGGCGGGGUAAAGGCCCACCAAGGCGACGAUCCGUAGCUGGUCUGAGAGGAUGAUCAGCCACACUGGAACUGAGACACGGUCCAGACUCCUACGGGAGGCAGCAGUGGGGAAUAUUGGACAAUGGGCGCAAGCCUGACCCAGCCAUACCGCGUGGGUGAAGAAGGCCUUCGGGUUGUAAAGCCCUUUUGUUGGGAAAGAAAAGCAGCAGGUUAAUACCCCGCUGUUCUGACGGUACCCAAAGAAUAAGCACCGGCUAACUUCGUG